Molecule: long non-coding RNA, 1333 nt
Organism: Homo sapiens (human)
Lineage: Eukaryota; Metazoa; Chordata; Mammalia; Primates; Hominidae
Gene: HK2-DT
Product: HK2 divergent transcript
Source: Ensembl
GCGGCCGCUCAGACACCGGAGCCGGCAGCCUGGGGAGGCGCGCCGGGGGCGGGGGGCGGGGGAGGGGCGGGGCGCCUGAGAUGGGACGUGUGGUCCGUGGCUAAAGGCUGGGACGGAAAGGCGCAUGAGCCACCGCCGCGUCAGGCUCGGCUAUGGGUGGGGGGAGCGUGAUCGCGGACCCGGGGUGUGGGGCGACUGGAAAAACGGGCCUCUGGACCAGCACACGCCCUGUGCGGAGAGACACUGUCUGGCAUCUCGGGAUCAUGUGAGGGGCUCCCACUGCCCAGUCACACGUCUAAAGCAUCCUAGUUCUUACCUAUUGUAGCACGGCCGGAAAGUGAGCCGCCUUAGCUGCUGAUUGUACUAGAGCAGGCAAUACAAGAGUCGGCCCAUCCUCAAAACCACUGAUAGGAUGUGAGUUUCACUAACCCCGUUUUACAGAUGAGGAAAUUGAGGCAAGGCCAGGGCUCACACCUGUAAUCCCAGCACUUUGGGAGUCCAAGGUUGGAGGGUUGCUUGAGACCAGGAGUUCAUGACCAGCCUGGGCGACAUAGUGAGACCCCCAUCUUCCCAAAUAAAAAUAAAUAAAUCAGCCGGACAUGGUGGCAUGUGCCUGUAGUCCCUGCUGCUCAGAAGGCUAAGGUGGAAGGAUAGCUUGAGCCCAGGAGUUCGAGGCUGCAGUGAGCUAUGAUCAUACCACUGUACUCCAGCCUAGGUGACAGAGGGAGACCCUGUCUCAAAAAGAAAAGAGACUUACACGAGGUCACAUAGCUAAUAAGUGGCAGAUAGGGAAGAGAACCCUUGUCCCUCUACUUUAAGGCCCUAUUCGCUUGCCCCAUUAUCCCAUGCUGCCUCUCUAAGAGCCAGAGAAGUAGGAGGUAGAAAAAGAGCAUCUCUGCAGCUCUGGGACUGAUGAUGUGAAUGAACUGGGUAGAUGGUAAGUGUGUAACUGGGUGAUCUUGGACAUGGGAUGGGGUGGGUGAGGAGGCUUACCAAUGCUGAGAGGAGUGGAAGCUCCAACCCCAGCUAAUGCUAGACACCAGACUCCAAAUUUAAACACACAGUGGAAACUGGCAAGAAUGAAAUACUGACUUCAAUACAGAUUUCAAGAGACAUGACAUUAGCACUGGUGGAGAAUGGCAAGCCUAAGGUUGGAAAAGGUUCAGGGAAGGAAGAUGAAGGUCUGCCAUGUUCUACUGAGGAGGAGUUUUUCAAACAGUGGGGUGCUGUCUGCAAUGUGUACAGCCUUAAAAUUAUUAUAUAAGUAAUCAAUACUCAUUGUUGAAAAAUAAUAUAUGGAUAAACAGGAAAAAUAAACAAAAAUCAUAAUCCA